This 1747-nucleotide long non-coding RNA is filed under the name Panax ginseng (ginseng). RNAcentral's name for it is "long non-coding RNA (PGIN_LNC008704)". Lineage: Eukaryota; Viridiplantae; Streptophyta; Magnoliopsida; Apiales; Araliaceae. The record is from RNAcentral.
ACCCAUUCUGAGUCGCCAAAUACAUAGUACAGAAAUCAAAUACAAACUUAAUUUAUACAAUACGACAAAAUGUAGCUGAGAGUUUUAACAUGAAUAUUAUCUCGUAGACAAUAUCCAAACUCAAAUGGAGUCCUCAUUACAUUUAUUAUCACACUAAUCAUAGAAUAGUGAGGACUACUAUAGCCACCAUCUCGGACCAUCACUCCAUUCCCCGACUAGUCCCAUCUAUAUUCUCAUUUCCUGAAGAGAACAAUGAAAGUAAAGGGUGAGCUCAACUAGCCCACUAAAGAAUAUUAUUACUAAGAUAAUUCACAAUAAAUUAUUGUUAGCCUUCAACAGUGUUAAACUGAUAGAAUACAAUAGACAACAAGUUUAACUGCAGCGGAAUAAACAAUCCAUUAGAAGAGUCAAGUGAGCAUGAUAUCUACUAUCUUCUAUGAUUUAAAAGUUCAUCAUCAAUAUUUUACCGCUAUAACACAGCUCAAUAAAUAAAUCACAUCAUCGAAUUAUCCAUGGUGUUGAAGGCUUCUAAACUGUGUACUGAAAAUGUAUUUUUUCUUUCAAGAAGCACCAGGCGCAACAACAUCCUCACCUUCAACGAUGGAUGAGGUAGCCUCCUAGAAAAUGGUCCAUGUGACACCCCCAAAUCCGGGUACUUCAUUUCCACCAAAUUUGGUGCUCACUAUCAAAAUAAUUACAUCUAACUACCCAUGAUAAAGGAUAAAACAUUAAAUAACUUAAACAAUAAUCUUUCCCAUUAAAGGGUUACAUCAUCUCAUAAACAAUCCUAGGUAAUCUAACCUUAAAUUAUUACAUCAGUUUGCGAAAUACAUUAUAAAAUAAAGCAAUUCUUAAAACAUCAUGCAUUUAAAUAAACUUUAAAUAAUUCUUCAACACUUGGACAUCUUGCCCUUUCUCAUGCUAGUAGAUGGAUCGUCACCUUUUUCGACUUUAGCUGCAUGGUUAAUUGCAAGAGUGAGCAAACAAUUGCUCACUGACAUAAAGAAUAGUAAUAAUAACCAUAUGAGAAUGAACAAUGAAUGUUGUACAAUAAUGAACUUGUUCUAUGAAUAGAAACAAAAACAAGUUUGAACUUUUAAUAUCUGAGGGUCUUAUGACCACGAACUAUGUCCACGAUGAUUAGGUAUUACUACCCCAACCUUAACAGUUAAUUAGACUGUACAGACUCUUCUUAACGUACUUAGGGGGAUCAGCCCUUUGUACCAUGUAUUGUGCACAAACAACUAAACGUUACACGUACAAAAUCCCCUAUGUUACGGUUGUUCGUCUCAAUUUGAAUUUAGAAUUUCUGCACUAAAGAAAGUCUAGUUUGGAACUAGCUUAUCAGUGUUUCUAGAAUUUUAGAACACUUAGUCAAUUUCCAUCAAUAAAGGUUUAAUAAAAGAAUGUAUAACUGAACAAGGCUAUCAAAGUCAAAGAUCCGAUAUUAACAAUAUAUAACUGAAUAAACAUGAUACACAUGCAAAGUACUAUGUUCAAAAGAGUUAGAACAAUCUCAUUUGAAUCGACGUAUUAGAACAAUAUAUUCUUUGUAUAAUAAUUAGAAAAGUGAAACUUGCUAGAUGUAACGAAUUAGAUUACAAGAGCUUAAUCAAUCGUAUAUAAGAAUAGAAUUACUAAUCUUGCUCAACCAAAGUUUGGGAACUUGCAUUCAUAGAUAAAAGAAUGAAUUUAGAAAGCUUUCUCAAUGUAAAGAGUUAAGGUUUAGAAACUUGCAUAAUUAAAA